RNAcentral lists this microRNA precursor (109 nucleotides) under Pelobates cultripes (western spadefoot toad). Lineage: Eukaryota; Metazoa; Chordata; Amphibia; Anura; Pelobatidae. The record is from RNAcentral.
ACACUGCGCCCUUCACACAUACAAUACGUCCAAAUAUAAUAUAUAUAUAUAUAUAUAUAUAUAUAUAUGUGUGUGUUUGGACGUAUUGUAUGUGUGAAGGGUGCAGCAU